RNAcentral lists this ribosomal RNA (399 nucleotides) under uncultured bacterium. Its description in RNAcentral is "bacterial SSU rRNA". It matches the Rfam family "Bacterial small subunit ribosomal RNA", at positions 356 to 773 of the family's 1533-position model. The record is from RNAcentral.
GGGGAAUAUUGCACAAUGGAGGAAACUCUGAUGCAGCGACGCCGCGUGAGCGAAGAAGGUCUUCGGAUCGUAAAGCUCUGUCCUAUGGGACGAUAAUGACGGUACCAUAGGAGGAAGCCCCGGCUAACUACGUGCCAGCAGCCGCGGUAAUACGUAGGGGGCGAGCGUUGUCCGGAAUGACUGGGCGUAAAGGGUACGUAGGCGGCUAGGUAAGUCAGAUGUGAAAGGCAUGGGCUCAACCCAUGUUAGCAUAUGAAACUGCUUAGCUUGAGUUAAGGAGAGGAAAGUGGAAUUCCUGGUGUAGCGGUGAAAUGCGUAGAUAUCAGGAGGAAUACCAGUGGCGAAGGCGACUUUCUGGACUUAAACUGACGCUGAGGUACGAAAGCGUGGGGAGCAAAC